RNAcentral lists this long non-coding RNA (1200 nucleotides) under Phasianus colchicus (ring-necked pheasant). Its description in RNAcentral is "lncRNA (ENSPCLG00000020292.1)". The record is from RNAcentral. Lineage: Eukaryota; Metazoa; Chordata; Aves; Galliformes; Phasianidae.
CCCAUACAAACCCCAUACGGACCCCAUACAGCCGUGCUUUUAGGACUUCCCCCAUACAGACCACAUACAGCCGUGCUUUUAGGGUUUCCCCCAUACAGACCCCAUACAGCCGUGCUUUUGGGAUUUCCCCCAUACAGACCCCAUACAGACACACUUUUAGGGUUUCCCCCAUACAGACCCCAUACAGACCCCAUACAGCCAUGCUUUUAGGAUUUCCCCCAUACAAGCCCCAUACUGUCAUGCUUUUGGGAUUUCCCCCAUACAGAUGUGGUUUUUGGGGUCCCCCCCAUUCAUAUGGGCUUUUUAUGAGGUUCCCCCGUCCAUAUAGGGUUUUUGGGGUCCCCCAUACAAAUGAUGGCAUUUUUUGGGGUCCCCCAUCCGUAUGGGGUUUUUUUGGUGUCUCCUCAUCCAUAUGGGGUUUUGGGGGGCCCUGCAUCCUUAUGGGGUUCUUCCCAUCCAUAUGGAUUUUUUUUGGGUUCCCCCCAUCCAUAUGGGGUUUUUGGGGUCCCUCCAUCCUUCUGGGGUUAUUGGGGUCCCCCAUACAAAUGAUGGCAUUUUUUGGGGUCCCCCCAUCCGUAUGGGGUUUUUUGGAGUCUCCCCAUCCACAUGGGGUCUCCCUCCAUCCUUAUGGGGUUUUUUUUGGGGUCUCCUCAUCCGUAUGGGGUCUUUUUGGGUUCCCCCCAUCCGUAUGGGGUUAUUGGAGUCCCUCCAUCCAUAUGGGGUUUUUAUGAGCUUCCCCCAUCUGUAUGGGGUUUUUUUUGGGGUCUCCUCAUCCAUAUUGGGUUUUUGGGGUCCCUCCAUCCUUAUGGGGUUCCCCCCAUCCAUAUGGGGUUUUUAUGAGGUUCCCCCCAUCCGUAUGGGGGUUUUUGGGGUUCCCCCCAUCCUUCUGGGGUUAUUGGGGUCCCCCAUACAAAUGAUGGCAUUUUUUUGGGGUCCCUCCAUCCAUAUGGGGUUUUUAUGAGGUUCCCCCCAUCCGUAUGGGGUUUUUAGGGUCCCCCAUCCGUACGGGGUUUUUUUUGGGGUCCCCCCCUUCACUCCCUGGCCCUCUGCGCCACCUCCUCCCCCAGCGCCUCCAGCACCUCCCUCUUGUAAUCCUGGAAAUCCCCGUCGAUUUGGUUGAGGCUCUGCUGCUCCACCACCCACAGCUGGCAGCCCGUCUCCGUGAUCAGCCGCGAGUCGUGGCUCACGAUGAUGACGGCU